GGGUUGUGAGGUUAAGCGACUAAGCGUACACGGUGGAUGCCCUGGCAGUCAGAGGCGAUGAAGGACGUGCUAAUCUGCGAAAAGCGCCGGCGAGGUGAUAUGAACCUUUGACCCGGCGAUGUCCGAAUGGGGAAACCCAGUGUGUUCCGACACACUAUCGUUAACUGAAUACAUAGGUUAACGAGGCGAACCGGGGGAACUGAAACAUCUAAGUACCCCGAGGAAAAGAAAUCAACCGAGAUUCCCCCAGUAGCGGCGAGCGAACGGGGAGCAGCCCAGAGUCUGAAUCAGCUUGUGUGUUAGUGGAACGGUCUGGAAAGUCCGGCGAUACAGGGUGAUAGCCCCGUACACGAAAACACACUUGCUGUGAACUCGAAGAGUAGGGCGGGACACGUGGUAUCCUGUCUGAAUAUGGGGGGACCAUCCUCCAAGGCUAAAUACUCCUGACUGACCGAUAGUGAACCAGUACCGUGAGGGAAAGGC
This 483-nucleotide ribosomal RNA is filed under the name Escherichia coli. RNAcentral's name for it is "partial 23S ribosomal RNA". It matches the Rfam family "Bacterial large subunit ribosomal RNA", at positions 1 to 515 of the family's 2925-position model. The record is from RNAcentral. Lineage: Bacteria; Pseudomonadati; Pseudomonadota; Gammaproteobacteria; Enterobacterales; Enterobacteriaceae.